GCCCUAGUAACGGCGAGUGAAGCGGCAACAGCUCAAAUUUGAAAUCUGGCUCUUUUAGAGUCCGAGUUGUAAUUUGCAGAGGGCGCUUUGGCUUUGGCAGCGGUCCAAGUUCCUUGGAACAGGACGUCACAGAGGGUGAGAAUCCCGUACGUGGUCGCUGGCUAUUGCCGUGUAAAGCCCCUUCGACGAGUCGAGUUGUUUGGGAAUGCAGCUCUAAAUGGGAGGUACAUUUCUUCUAAAGCUAAAUAUUGGCCAGAGACCGAUAGCGCACAAGUAGAGUGAUCGAAAGAUGAAAAGCACUUUGGAAAGAGAGUCAAACAGCACGUGAAAUUGUUGAAAGGGAAGCGCUUGCAGCCAGACUUGCUUACAGUUGCUCAUCCGGGUUUCUACCCGGUGCACUCUUCUGUAGGCAGGCCAGCAUCAGUUUGGGCGGUAGGAUAAAGGUCUCUGUCACGUACCUCCUUUCGGGGAGGCCUUAUAGGGGAGACGACAUACUACCAGCCUGGACUGAGGUCCGCGCAUCUGCUAGGAUGCUGGCGUAAUGGCUGUAAGCGGCCCGUCUUGAAACACGGACCAAGGAGUCUAACAUCUAUGCGAGUGUUUGGGUGUCAAGCCCGAGCGCGUAAUGAAAGUGAACGGAGGUGGGAACCCGCAAGGGUGCACCAUCGACCGAUCCUGAUGUCUUCGGAAGGAUUUGAGUAAGAGCAUGGCUGUUGGGACCCGAAAGAUGGUGAACUAUGCUUGAAUAGGGUGAAGCCAGAGGAAACUCUGGUGGAGGCUCGCAGCGGUUCUGACGUGCAAAUCGAUCGUCAAAUUUGGGCAUAGGGGCGAAAGAC
This 836-nucleotide ribosomal RNA is filed under the name Alternaria alternata. RNAcentral's name for it is "partial large subunit ribosomal RNA". It matches the Rfam family "Eukaryotic large subunit ribosomal RNA", at positions 77 to 931 of the family's 3401-position model. Lineage: Eukaryota; Fungi; Ascomycota; Dothideomycetes; Pleosporales; Pleosporaceae. The record is from RNAcentral.